GACGAACGCUGGCGGCGUGCUUAACACAUGCAAGUCGAGCGGAAAGGCCCAGCUUGCUGGGUGCUCGAGUGGCGAACGGGGGAGUAAAACGUGGGAGUCCUCCCGCUAAGUUUGGGGGAAGCCUGGGAAACUGGGUCUAUAACCGGUGAGGACAGCCGCUGAGGGUUGGUGGGGGUAGGAUUUUUCGGUUGGGGAUGAGCCCGCGGCCGAUUAGCUUGUUGGUGGGGUAAGGGCCUACCAAGGCGUCGAUGGGUAGCCGGCCUGAGAGGGUGGACGGCCACAUUGGGACUGAGAUACGGCCCAGACUCCUACGGGAGGCAGCAGUGGAGAAUAUGGCACAAUGGGCGCAAGCCUGAUGCAGCGACGCCGCGUGGGGGAUGACGGCCUUCGGGUGGUAAACCGCUUUCGACUGGGACGAAGCUUUAGUGACGGUACCUGUAGAAGAAGCACCGGCUAACUACGUG
Molecule: ribosomal RNA, 464 nt
Filed under: uncultured bacterium
Lineage: Bacteria
Description: partial 16S ribosomal RNA
Rfam family: Bacterial small subunit ribosomal RNA
Source: RNAcentral